Long non-coding RNA from Acinonyx jubatus (cheetah), 1549 nucleotides. RefSeq lists it as uncharacterized. The transcript has 4 exons. NCBI's taxonomy places the organism in Eukaryota, Metazoa, Chordata, Mammalia, Carnivora, Felidae. The record is from RefSeq and is a predicted model, not a curated record.
AAGGAAAGGUAAGAGAAACAAAUCACAUUAACACUUCCAUGUGCUAGGUGGUUUGUUGUAUUUAAUCUUCACUACAACCCAGUGAGGUACAAUUAAUUACUGUCCUCAUGUUACAGAUGAGUCCUGGCUUAGAGAAAUAACUGACUUAAGGUUCUUAAUGAGUACCUAGUGGGACCAGAAGAUCUGAACUUGGGCACUGCAGGUAACACAGACCCUUCUUGUCCCACAGAAGGUGGAGGGGUGUGAUGAAAAGCACAAACAACACCCAGGUUGAAGUGACUGGCCUAGGAAAUUUGUUGCUGUGCAGAAGAGUGAAGAGUCAGCCGAAUGAAGCAAUGAAUGCAAUCAUUUUGUGGACUAAUUGAGAUAGAAUCCAACCUCAUGGUAGAGGCUCUCGGUAAGGUUCCUCUCCAGAAGAAUGGCUACAGAAGGAGAAAUCUCCCUUCCCGAGCACCCAGGGUAGAUUCUGGUGUGGACUGAGCUGCUCCUGAGGAAACUCUUUUCUGAAUGAUUGCCCAUCAAACACACACUUGUGGGGCCCAAGUUUCAGGACAACAGGGGUCCGAGAUGAUGCUGGUCCAACGACUUCAGAUUUUAUCCAGCAUGCCCUGGCCCAACCCCAUCUGCUCUUAAGGCUAGAUGCAUUAACCAAUCUGGAAGCGAGUUUGUGAGAGCAAAACCAGCUUGGUGAUACCCUGUGAAGGAGGCUGUUGCUAUUCUGGCCCAGGAAGAAUGGCAUUGAGAGACUGUGCACAGCUCACAGGAAGCCUGCAAGGCUGCACUCCCGCAGAAAUGAGAGAGGGUGGGACAAACGAGGCCGACAAGCAUUGACAAGGGAAAUACCUUGGGAUGUUCUGUACUGGAUCAGACUCCAGGUGAUCUUGUCAUCAUGCAAGUGUGGGAAUGUGUGCAUGUGAACUCUAUGACAUGCAUACUGAACAUAGAGCUCCAACAAGGACUUGGCAACGCUUACUGUAUCCAACUCGCCAGCGUCCUAUUAUCUUUACAAGAGUAAUUCCCCUCCCUUCCUCCCUGCCUUCCUCCUUUGUCCUUUCUUCAGUUUUGAGUAAAUGUGCUACCCAGAUGCUUUGAUUCAACUUGAGGGCAACUGUGGUUCCUGAGUCUAUAUCCAAGGCCAGGUAUCAUGCCAUUUCUCUACAUGUAUUAAUCUCCACAACAAUCCUGUGAAGUGUGUACUGUUAUCAUCCCCAUAUCACAAACAGAGAAACUGAGACACAGAGAGAUUCAGUUACCUGCUUAUGAUCGCAUAGUUGUAAAAGGAGAAGGGUCAAGAUUUGAACCUAGGAACACUGGCUGACAGUCUUUGCUUCAAACCAUUAGACAACGAAGCAAGUAAGGUGAAUAAAGAAAAAUACCCUCAAUUCCUCUUACCAGAAACAACCACUCAAACACUUAGUCAUUUUUAUAUGCAAACAUUUAAUUGAAUCAAAGUAUUAAUUUUAUAUGCCCUGCUUAAAAACUCUACGAUUAGAUUAUAUCUCCUCUGUUGUGUGUUCCUUGCAAAUCUGAUUUUUGUUAACUAUGUAGU